AUUCGCGGCCUAUCAGCUUGUUGGUGGGGUAAUGGCCUACCAAGGCGACGACGGGUAGCCGGCCUGAGAGGGUGACCGGCCACACUGGGACUGAGACACGGCCCAGACUCCUACGGGAGGCAGCAGUGGGGAAUAUUGCACAAUGGGCGAAAGCCUGAUGCAGCGACGCCGCGUGAGGGAUGACGGCCUUCGGGUUGUAAACCUCUUUCAGCAGGGACGAAGCGCAAGUGACGGUACCUGCAGAAGAAGCACCGGCUAACUACGUGCCAGCAGCCGCGGUAAUACGUAGGGUGCGAGCGUUGUCCGGAAUUAUUGGGCGUAAAGAGCUCGUAGGCGGUUUGUCGCGUCGGCCGUGAAAACCUGGGGCUUAACCCUGGGCCUGCGGUCGAUACGGGCAGACUUGAGUUCGGUAGGGGAGACUGGAAUUCCUGGUGUAGCGGUGAAAUGCGCAGAUAUCAGGAGGAACACCGGUGGCGAAGGCGGGUCUCUGGGCCGAUACUGACGCUGAGGAGCGAAAGCGUGGGGAGCGAACAGGAUUAGAUACCCUGGUAGUCCACGCCGUAAACGGUGGGUGCUAGGUGUGGGGACCAUUCCACGGUUUCCGUGCCGUAGCCAACGCAUUAAGCACCCCGCCUGGGGAGUACGGAAU
RNAcentral lists this ribosomal RNA (649 nucleotides) under uncultured Actinomycetes bacterium. Its description in RNAcentral is "bacterial SSU rRNA". It matches the Rfam family "Bacterial small subunit ribosomal RNA", at positions 229 to 888 of the family's 1533-position model. Lineage: Bacteria; Bacillati; Actinomycetota; Actinomycetes. The record is from RNAcentral.